Molecule: long non-coding RNA, 372 nt
Filed under: Trifolium pratense (red clover)
Lineage: Eukaryota; Viridiplantae; Streptophyta; Magnoliopsida; Fabales; Fabaceae
Description: long non-coding RNA (TPRA_LNC010930)
Source: RNAcentral
UAGGGGAUCCAUAUCGCAGUGUGUAAGCUCUUACUUUUCGUUUCCCUCCAAAUAGGAGGAGCAUAAUAAGCGGGUGUUGCACCAUUAAAAAAAAAAGAGUUGCUUUUAUUUUAAAAAACCUUCCCAUUUGCAAUAUUAACCCGCAAAUUUAAUAACUAAUUUUUUAUGUUGAAAUUUAACAAUUAACAGUUGAAGACUUUUACCUUCCCCAUUAUUCUCACAUUUUUAGUCCAAACAUGGGUAAGGUUAUAACUAUUUGAUCGCAUUCCUUCCCCUCAUUACAUUCCAUCUCAUUCUUUAAGAGGGCCUACUCCCAGGAAAAAAAAAACUAUAACAAAGGUAACCGAGGAGUCAAAACUCCAGAAAUAUCAG